Molecule: ribosomal RNA, 273 nt
Filed under: uncultured Pelotomaculum sp.
Lineage: Bacteria; Bacillati; Bacillota; Clostridia; Eubacteriales; Desulfotomaculaceae
Description: partial 16S ribosomal RNA
Rfam family: Bacterial small subunit ribosomal RNA
Source: RNAcentral
AGUUGCUAACAGGUGAAGCUGAGCACUCUAGACGAACUGCCGUUGACAAAACGGAGGAAGGUGGGGGAUGACGUCAAAUCAUCAUGCCCCUUAUGUUCUGGGCUACACACGUGCUACAAUGGCCGGUACAGACGGAGGCGAAGCCGCGAGGCGGAGCAAAACCGAAAAAGCCGGUCUCAGUUCGGAUUGCAGGCUGCAAUUCGCCUGCAUGAAGUCGGAAUCGCUAGUAAUCGCAGGUCAGCAUACUCGCGGUCCGAAUACGUUCCGGGCCUU